Molecule: ribosomal RNA, 588 nt
Filed under: uncultured bacterium
Lineage: Bacteria
Description: partial 16S ribosomal RNA
Rfam family: Bacterial small subunit ribosomal RNA
Source: RNAcentral
UGGGGGAUUUUGGACAAUGGGGGAAACCCUGAUCCAGCCAUCCCGCGUGUGCGAUGAAGGCCUUCGGGUUGUAAAGCACUUUUGGCAGGAAAGAAACGUCGCGGGUUAAUACCCCGCGGAACUGACGGUACCUGCAGAAUAAGCACCGGCUAACUACGUGCCAGCAGCCGCGGUAAUACGUAGGGUGCAAGCGUUAAUCGGAAUUACUGGGCGUAAAGCGUGCGCAGGCGGUUCGGAAAGAAAGAUGUGAAAUCCCAGAGCUUAACUUUGGAACUGCAUUUUUAACUACCGGGCUAGAGUGUGUCAGAGGGAGGUGGAAUUCCGCGUGUAGCAGUGAAAUGCGUAGAUAUGCGGAGGAACACCGAUGGCGAAGGCAGCCUCCUGGGAUAACACUGACGCCCAUGCACGAAAGCGUGGGGAGCAAACAGGAUUAGAUACCCUGGUAGUCCACGCCCUAAACGAUGUCAACUAGCUGUUGGGGGUCUUCGGACCUUGGUAGCGCAGCUAACGCGUGAAGUUGACCGCCUGGGGGAGUACGGUCGCAAGAUUAAAACUCAAAGGAAUUGACGGGGGUCAUAGCUGUUUCCU